RNAcentral lists this long non-coding RNA (1384 nucleotides) under Anser brachyrhynchus (Pink-footed goose). Its description in RNAcentral is "lncRNA (ENSABRG00000008949.1)". The record is from RNAcentral. Lineage: Eukaryota; Metazoa; Chordata; Aves; Anseriformes; Anatidae.
GUUUGCGUUGAGGCUUGCUGGUCACUGUGUUGUGAAAAAUCAAUGAGAUGUGACGGGAUUUCUCAAUGCAAUUUCAAGUGGUGUGUCUGGGCCCUAAGAAUACAUUUAUCUUAUUCAAAGAAGAGUUAAUGCAUGCAGUUUCACAGUGGCCUAUGUUACCUCCUGAAACACCAGGUUGCAAGAGGUGUCUUGGAAGACAUGGUUUUUAAGGCAGGAACUGAAAGAGGAGUACACUGGAGCUUGUCUCUAUCAUGCAUAGACCAACAUGGAAGAGAACGCAAGCCCACUCACGAACUGGGGACAGGCGAGGGUUUGGCAGACACUUGGUAUCUGCUCCAGUCUUUUGAAGAAACGGGCAUCCACUGAGGACCUCAUCCGGACAAAAAAAAAAUCUCAUGGCCGGACAACAAUUAAAAUCGAUAAGCUAUGAUGACUCCCUUUGCAGAAGAGGCCUGGAAACACAAAGCAGUUUUUAACGCCGUUCUCCUUUGCGUUUGGCGAGGAAGCUGGAAUCAGUCAGCGCUUGGGCCGACUGCUGCACUGACAGAAGACCUGGCUCCUUCUGAAGCUUUCUGAGUCUCUGCUGAAGUGGCCACAGCCAAGACUUAGAUUUGGAUUGGCAAACUUCAUAAUCAUUACCAUUAAUCCAUUGCACAGUUAUGCCUUCUGUCACAGAUUUAUUGAAGUGGUAUUAACUGGUAUUUCACAAUCUCCUCCCAAAGAGGUGAAGCAACUGUAGAUUUCUGAAGUUUUAACACUUGAAAUGUUUAGUGUCUUCUCCCGGUAUUCAACAGAAAGGUAAUUUCACAUAAUUUCAUUGACGUCAAAACUUAGCCCUACUUGGCUUUCCCUUACUCUUGGCUAGAGUACCCUUGACACCCUCUCAGUCAGCUGAAAUGAAUGUUCUCCUUACUUGUGGGUUAAUUAUUUUCCACAUGGGUUAAUUAUUUUCCAUGCUUAGCCUGAAGCACCUUAGCUCUUUGUAUAGACAUAGAAAGAAAUUGUAAAAUUGAAGGCGUUUCAAAAAUAUUUGUACAUAGAAAAGUAGCUGUUUAUGGAUUGUUACUGAAUGAAUGACUUGGAAAUUAGCUCCAGCUGCAGUAUAGCCUUUCUUUAAAUGGAAAAAAAGACACAUUUUCGUCUGUGAUCUAAUUAUAUAUCAUUUCCAUUGAAUCAUCAGUACCCAGAAUGUGUUGUUUGCAAUUCUGAGUGGAUGACUUACACAGUACAAGAAGGGAGAUUUCUAUUUGACUUAUUCUUAAUCAGAAAAUACAUUUCUAUAUACAAAAAGAAAAAAAGAAAAAAAAAAAGAAAAAUGAAGCUUUAAUUCUUUAAAAAAUCAGCUGAAAGCUUUUAAUUUUCCUUGAUCUUUUUUUUUUGGGGC